This 221-nucleotide ribosomal RNA is filed under the name uncultured bacterium. RNAcentral describes it as "partial 16S ribosomal RNA". It matches the Rfam family "Bacterial small subunit ribosomal RNA", at positions 96 to 334 of the family's 1533-position model. The record is from RNAcentral.
UGGCGCACGGGUGCGCAACGCGUGGGAAUCUGCCCCUCGGUUCGGAAUAACAGUUAGAAAUGACUGCUAAUACCGGAUAAUGACGAAAGUCCAAAGAUUUAUCGCCGAGGGAUGAGCCCGCGUAGGAUUAGCUAGUUGGUGGGGUAAAGGCCUACCAAGGCGACGAUCCUUAGCUGGUCUGAGAGGAUGAUCAGCCACACUGGGACUGAGACACGGCCCAG